AGCGCCGCGGGUGGGGAUGCGGGAGGCUGAGCGCACCGGCCAGCUAGCCCCUUUGUGCGGCGGGGGCUGCGGAGUGCUCCCUCCAAGACCGGUUGCACCCCGCUUUCCUGGCCAGGACUCUGGGCGCGGCAGCUACAAAGACGACGCCGGCUGCGCUCGCGGGACCAGAGGGAGGGAGGCUGCGGACGAGUGCGGGGAGGAGUUUGAGAUGGGAGGCGCUUGCAGGGGCUCCCCCAGUUCUGCGCUGUGAGCCGGGGCACAAAGAGCCCUCUGCACUAGCGCCGCAGGACCGCGGACCCGAGUUGGAGGCAUCUGUCCACCCAUGUGGUUCCAGACACGUUCAUGUGGCCACCAUGACCCCGUCGGCAUCACAGGGGUAACCAAGGUGAUCCUCCCUCUCUUCCUGUGUCCACUGGGGAUGGUAGAGACCAGCUUAAUGCUUUGAGAUCAGAUCCAUCACGAAAUCCGUAUGUCCUGAGACCUCCUGAAUCUUAAGAGAGCAGCAAGUUCCUGGGACAGAGGAGACAGAAGGGAAUUUCCAGGUUCUUCAGGACGUUCACAACCACACUGAGAAGCAUCUUUGCAGAUAAGUAUUUAAACUUACCAGCCCAUAGCCUACCAGCCUGCCCUCUUCUGGUCUGUGCAGGAAAGUGUAGUAUCCUAGAAUGCCAAAGUGGGAGGGGAAAUGGGUGAUGUAGCUCAUUCUCUUUUCUACCUCUAUGGAAGAAAGAAAGAGCCUGUCCCCAUUUUGUGGGGUCCCAGAAAGGGUGAUUUUCACACUUCACAUUUGGCGUUAGGGCUAGUAUUUCACAAACAUUACCGUCUGGAACUUUUGAAGGCUGAGUUAAAUGACUUCAUCUUGUGUACUUGUAGAACUGCUAUUAGAAGGAGGCUGGGGACUCCCUGAUGAUGUGAACCAGCCCUUCUCUUCUCAGUUUCAGCACUUUGUGAUCAUAUUUAUAAACCUUGGACAGGGCUCCUUGGCCUUAGAGUUAAGUGAAGAGUUAACACUGUGACUUUAGAUGCAUUUUUCUCAGUGUAAGUGUCUGAGCUCAUCUCCAGUUCUGGACUCGUGCCCCCACUCCCGGGUGCUGACAGCAAGCUCUGAAGAUAUGCUGAGAGAGCUCCCUGACUCUCCUGACUCAGGUCUGCCAGUUGAUGAAGACAGCACAGUUGUUACCAAAAACAAAACCUGGCAGAUGGUCCUAGGUCAGGAUUAGUGGUCAUUCUCUGGUCUUCUCCAGACUGGUGACACAGGGUGGUCUUAAAAGAGUCCUAGUCCAGCCUCUGGCUCCCCGAAUUUCCUCUGGUGCAUGGGGCAUCAGGAAAGGGCAGGGGAGAAGGAGGGGGAGCAGAAAAAUAACUGAGGCUGGGCAGAAGGGUCCCUUCCAUUUCCCAUCCAUUGCUUCAAACAAUGGGUGAUUACCGUGCACCUUGAGUGAAUGUCAAGGCAGGAAGGGUUCCAGGGCCACCCAGUGUGGCAGGAGCAGAGCUGGGAUCAGAAUUCUGGAUUCCUGACUCUCCGUUCAGCUGCUAUUCAGCUAUCACCAAGCUGCUGAGUUUGUCCUACUUUCUCCUGGGUCACAUUCUGCUGUUGUUGGGAAACAGGGAGUGAGUGAAGGGAACCUGGGAACCCUUCUCCCCUCACCUUUUAAGGAUGUUCUGGGGUGGAAUAAAGAGAGGUGGAGGGUGGGGUGCCUGGGCCCAGCCUCCCUGGCUCCUGGUCCUUCUUUCUUCAGCAGGGAGUUCUGGCAAGGCCUGGGCCUGGGGAGGGGGCCUGGGUGCAGUUUUCUCCUGCGGUGUGGUUGGCUCUUUUGUCUUCCAGGAUGGGCCUGUGGGGUCUGUGUGGGGAAGGAAGGAGCUGGGAGCCUGGGCUGCCUGUGUGUCGGCUGGAUGCUGCCAGGUGGCUCCAUCUGGGCCGCAUCUCCAGGACUCCUGGCCUGGACUUCUCUUUGGACCUCGGGUGACCUUGGAUUCUGGCCACAGUGACUUAGCGGUCAGACUCCGGUGGUUUUCUAGCCCGCUGGGUGACUCCCUGAAGAUCUCAUCCUCUUCACACCUGUUGGGAUGGAGCCUCCCAUGGAUAGGAACUCUUCCUGGUUGAUGCUCAGCAGAUGACUGAUCUGGCUCUGGAGGACAGCUCCAGGGGUAUGAGGGAGGCCUGGCAGCCCACUACUCCCUCCUCACCUGCUCGGGCCCUGCCUGCUGGGCCCUAUUGUCUGGGUCUGGGGGCCCUUUCCUGCCCCAUGUGAACUUGAUUCCUCCUCGCGUUUCUGCCGGUGACCAGACAGAGCCUGGCCUGGGCCAAGUCCCCACUGACCACACUUUCCCCAAGGCUGGGUCUCAAAGGACCCUACAGGAUGGGGACAGGAACAAGGAUGGGAGUCGGGGAGGGGCUGUCAGGCAGAGGGCAGAUGCAGCUCCUCGGGUGCCGCUGGCUGGAGUCCUUUGUCUCCAUUUGCUCAGUGCGUAAUUGUCAUUUUGUGGGGGACUUCCUUGGUGGGGCUUUUCCAUGCUUUUCCUCUCCCUGAUGGUUACAAAGAGGAGACAGUCAGGAUCUGGGAGGAGCUGGAGCCUUCCCCCUGUGCUGUUGAACUCUGGGAGGGGCAGCCAGAGGGGCUGAGAGUGCACCAUCCUGAAAAGAGAGGGUCUUUAAGAGAUAAGAUUUAGGCUAGGGAAAUUCACUAGAAAGAGACAGGUGGCCCUGGGUUUUUUUUCCUGCCAUCCAAAGGGAACCAGUCUUACCCAAAGGCUUAAGGGGUCACCUUAGCCCAGUCUCAGGACACUCUUCUCCAAUCAGAUCGCUGCUUCUAGUUGCACUGCUCCUGGAUUCUGUUCUUGGGGAACAGAAGGUGGCAGGACAGGCCCCACAAUCUGCAAUUCCAGCUCCCUCCAGAGGAGACAGUCCCAGCGUUUGCAAGAGAGCAGCUUGUGGCCUCCCUUAGGCAAGUUUAAAAGCCAGAUGUCCUUUUUCCCAGAAUGCGGAGUGGUGUGUACUAUUCAUCAGCUUGGGCUGCCACAGCACCAUGCCAGACUGGAUGGCUUAAACAUCAGGAAUUUAUUUUCUGCCAGUUCUGGAGGCUGGAAAGUCCAGAUCAAGGUGUUAAGACUUGGUUUCUGGUGAGGCCUCUCUCCUUGGCUUGCAGGUGGCACCUUCUCACUAUGUCCUCACAUGGCCUUUUCUCUGUGGAGAGGGACAGAGAGCAUGAGCAGGCUCUGGUGUCUCCUCCUCUUCUUAUAAAGACACUAAUAUCACCAUAUUAGGGCUUAAACCUAUGACCUCAUUUAACCUUAACCCCUUAAAGGUCCCAUCUCCAAAAACAGUCACAUAGCAGGCUACUGCUUCAACAUAUGCAUUUGGGGGAGGGGACACCAUUCAGUUCUUAACAGGGUGGUCACCGCAAACAUGGAAAGUCAGAGCCUUCUCCCCUUCAGAAUUCCCGCCCCCACCCAGGGAUGGGGAGGAGGAGCAGAGAGGUAUGGGAAGCAGACACGGAGAGUGGCAGGUACCAUGCUGGGGUGGCUCAGGAGUGCUUCGGAGGACAUAUGGAACUGGCAGGGCUCAGUGCAGGGAGGCGGAGGCCCUGGGAGAGCCGUGUCCUGAGAAGGGCCUGGGCUACAACCCUGGGCAAGUUACUUCACCUCUGAGCCUCCGAUGCUCUGUGAAAUGGAAGGAAUGUGCUUGCCUGUCAGGUGCAGGGAGAAUUCAGUGAGAUUGUGUGCCUAGCACAGUGCCUGACUCCCAGUAGGUGCUCAGCAAAUGCUCCCAUCCAUCUGGGAGUAUAGACUUAGGGUUUAUCUAUUUUUUUUUUUUUUUGGCUCUCUGGACUUUAAAACUCAGCAUCUUCUGAACCAGAGGCAUUUCUGAUUAGCCCUUCCCUACCUAUUUUCCUAGUAUCACUCUUUAAUCAGCUUGGGGAGGUGGCAGCAUUUCAUGGCCUCCGUAGUAACUCACAAUGCUUCCUGGGGUAUUUAAAUUCUACUCUCUCAUCAGCACUGAGCACCUACUUUGGGCCCUUUCCCGUGCUAGCCAUUUGGGGGAAAUAUAGGUGAAGAGUGGCUGGGGUUUGAACCUUUAGGAUUUCACAGCCAUGCUGGAUGGGAUAAAACCAGCUCACAUGGAGAAUCAGAGAAUGGGACAGUGCCACAAAACAGUCUACUGAGGCACAAGUUCUGAGUGCCUGGGAAGUGGUAGAGAGACCCCAGAGAGGGCUGCUGCAGUCUGGAACAGCUUCCUAGCAAGCUGUACCAAACAGGGCCUUGAAGGAUGAGAAAGAUCUGGCUGAGAUGAUACCCGACCCUCUAGGGAAAUUCUUAAAGUAACUUCUAGGAAAUGUCAUUGCUCCUUAAAAAAAAAAAAAAAAAAAAAAAAGCAGGUUCUAAUUCAAAUUCCGCUGCACUACUGAAGUAGUGCAGGACUUAUCAGAACCUUUAAAAUGCUAAUGGCAAUUUCAAAUACUCAGGGACAGGGCAUAGGAUGAAGUGUUCCUUGACUUUUAUGGCCGUAGAAUCUUUUUCUCAUGGAACAUCGUUUAGAACUGUGGGAGAUGCUAGGCUGGGGUUUCUAUGGGAAAAGUACAGCAGUGAUAGAAGAUGGCAUAAUUAGGGUACACUUAGGUGCUUUGUAGCAUUGGCUGAAAAGGAAGCAGACCGGGUGGGCGUGGGGGAGUCUCAACUUGGUUCCAGGAGCCAGGCCAGCUUGAUGCGUUUUUUUUUUUUCUAAUGGUGGGAGGGCAGGCCAAUAGUUGGAGAAACUAGAGGCCUGACAGUCGGUGAUGGAAGAGAUGUCUACUAAGCACGGUUGUCAGAUCUUUUGCGGAGAGAUGCGGGUGUGCGUGUGUCUGUCAGAGUGUAACAGGAUCCAGCCCUCUGGGAAGGGGCUGACCAGAACCAGGCAGGGGGUUUCUGUCUAGGACAAGUAGGGUCCAUUUUCAGGGGAGCUGAAAUAUUUGCAGGGGGUGCUCUGAGACCCACAGCCAAUAAAUAGGGAAGCAACAUGCUUUUGGGCAGGGUCCAUGUGGUUAGGGUUGAUUUUGAUGGGGCUGGGGGGCUUAGAGUUAGACCCCCUGCCCUGGUCAGGCCCCACUCCCUGGCUGGUGGGGGCGGGAGGCCUCUGAAGCUGCAGCUGGAGGGGCCGGGGCAGUGUUGCAUGGUGUGAUUAACCUACUAACCCAGGGCUCAGCCGGGACGCUGUGGCGUGUGACGAGGUGCCUGGCCUUCUGCCAACCAACUAACCCACUAACCAGGCCCGAGCAUGCCCUACUAACCACCCCCCCGCAGCCAGAUCCUACUAACUGUGCAGCUCAUGGGCCUUUCAAGGGGCUGGGAUAUGGGGGCAGCCAAGGCUCCAGAAGGCUCUGCCUAUGGGCUGGGAUCUUUGUGCAGACCCACGUUCCAGGACAGAGAAUGCAAAUAAGACUCACCAACUCUGCCACUUCCUGUUGAGUGAGUUUGAGUAAGUCACCUCACUUCUCUCAACCUCAGUUUCCUCAGUGGUAGAAUGCGAGUUCUGAUACCUUACAGGUUGCAGUGAGGAUUCCCGUCAAUAUAAGGGUCUCAGCACAUGGCAGACACCUAAAAAAAAAAAAAGUAUGAGGAUGGAGGAAGGCCCCUCAAACCUGGUUGAACACGUCUGCUGCCUAGGCCCUGGCCUCUCUGGGUGUUCUGCACACAGAUCCUUCUGCCUGGGGCAAGACACUUGGCUUUGAAUCCAUGUCACUUCCCCACAUUCUUCCUCCGUCUCAGCUUUCUUUUCUGUAGGCAGCUCUUUUGUUCGAUUACUAACCCGUCUAACCCCUGGGGUGCCUCAACUGCACCCCGAUCAUCCCUUAACAAACUAACGGACCUGCGUGCGUUCUUCCUUUUCUCUUAGCGACUCCUGUGUGUGUCUGCUGAGGUGCCCUGUCCGCUGGUGCUGUGCUCUGACUUACUAACCCAGCCCCUACUAACCCUGUUUUCUCUUCUUACUAACCCCAGCCCUGCCGAGCUCUGGGCUCCCCCCGGGGGCUGGUCCCCCUCCUUUUGGCAAGCAGAUGACCUGGGGCUACUGGCCCUGUAGACAGAUGUCCCACUUUGCUGCCCCAUAUUGGCUGUAAGAUCAGAGUCCACUGGGCCAGGUCUAAGGCAGGGGAUGGCCCUAUUAACAAGACUCAGAGGAGGAAGAGGUGGUCCUGUGGAUGUGGGAGGCUGGACUCUGAGUAUGACAUCUCUCCUAUGUGCAGAAGUCUGGUUGCCACUGGGAGUAGGUGGGACCAGGGAAAUCUCUGGGACGUGAGUGUGGAGGCCUGUUGGUCUAGACUCUAGACUGUGGAGCUCUGAGCUUUUGUGUCCUCUGGAAGGAAGCUGGGGAAGAAUCCUCUCCAUUGUUAAGUGACGGGGAUAGAAGCUGUCCUGCACAGGAAGUCACGAGGGGGGCGUAUCCCACGAGGAAGGCAGGAGGGGGCGUGCCCCUCACCGGAAAUUAGCAGAGGGGCGUGUCCCACACCGGAAGUCAGAAAGCGGAGCCUUUCUUACACCGGAAGUCAAUGAAGCGGGUCUUUCCUACGCUAAAAACCACUGAGUGGAGUAUUUAGUACACAGGAAGUCGGCCAGAGAAACAUUUCUCAUAUUUGAAGGCCGGAAAGAGGGACAUUUCUGACACCGGAAGUCAGUGAGAGGACUCUUUCCCACACAGGAAGUCAGCUAGAGAGCCGUCUCCCCUCUCUGGAGCCGAGAGAGGCCGGUUUCCCCCACCGUAGCCCACCUGGGAGGAAUUUUCCAGAGAUCACUGUCUGAUGACCCUGUCUUGGAAUUGGAGCCAUGCAAGUUACACUGACCACGUUUGGGUUGGGAUAUUGAGGAGGUUAUGGUUAAAAGCAUACGAUGGGAGAUCAUAUUGUACUUGCGAGUGAGACCCGGCUGGAGGAAUGUUUUAAUUCUUCGGAAAUACCAAGUGGUCUCUCUACUCGGGAGGCUGAGGCAUGAGAAUCGCUUGAACCCGGGAGAUGGAGGUUGCACUGAGCCGAGACUCCAGCCUGGGCGACAGAGUGAGACCUCGUCUC
This 7040-nucleotide long non-coding RNA is filed under the name Homo sapiens (human). Its description in RNAcentral is "PREDICTED lncRNA (TCONS_00176751)". The stretch from base 5148 to 5296 matches the Rfam family "Myocardial infarction associated transcript exon 5 conserved region 1". Lineage: Eukaryota; Metazoa; Chordata; Mammalia; Primates; Hominidae. The record is from RNAcentral.